GUCUAGGUAGCUUAAUUAAAGCUUAAUAUUGAAGCUAUUAUGAUAAGAUUUAUAUCUUCUUAGACA
Molecule: transfer RNA, 66 nt
Filed under: Leptocoris augur
Lineage: Eukaryota; Metazoa; Arthropoda; Insecta; Hemiptera; Rhopalidae
Description: tRNA-Phe
Source: RNAcentral